AUUACUUGAAGUGUUUGUAUCUGUAAUUGUUUUAUUUAUCAUUUUUACAUUCUUCGUUUUCUGUGUCUAUAAACAUGAGUAGAUUUUAAACAGUUGUUGAGUCUUAUUCUUAUCUGAUUGCACUCAUUUUUUUGCUUUAAUUCAUGUGAUACUACACAGAAUCACCUUGUUAACUUCAUUCUUUAUUGGUGUUGUCUGUGUCAUAGACUGUUAGUCAUCAUUAAUUGGAAAUUCUUGUGCUGGGUAUCAUAUUAAACAAUCUAGACCAAAUACUCAUUUGUUUUGUGUAAUAUUCUGCAGUUGGGGAUCAGUCUCCUAUGGU
This 322-nucleotide unclassified non-coding RNA is filed under the name Hevea brasiliensis (rubber tree). Lineage: Eukaryota; Viridiplantae; Streptophyta; Magnoliopsida; Malpighiales; Euphorbiaceae. The record is from RNAcentral.